AUUUCAGCCGCCGAUUUAGCGCGCCCGCUCUUCAACUUGUGAUGCUUAGUGCAAACCUUUGGCACCUGCUAACUCCACUUCUCUUUUCGAGGGUGAUCCAAAUCUGUGUGGACCAGCCCGGACAAUUCAAAACUAUAACUCAGCAAUUGACCGCAUCCAAGCAGAAGGAGCACAAGACGUGGAAGGAGUAAAAUUCAGAAUGGAUGACGUAGAGCCAAGCAACAUAAGCAGUGCCAUUACUAAUGUGUUACCAGACCUACCAACCUCAAAUCUAAAUAUUGUAUUGGAGACAUUACAAUCUUUAGGUGUGGGAGCCACUGAAGAUUUACAGUAUAUUAAGGAAGCUGAUCUGCUCACAGUACUGAGACCAGUUCAAGCUAGAAAACUGUUGGCUGCAUGGAAACAAUCCACAGAGACAACUGAAUUCCAUAGUCAGUCAACAUUGACCUCUCCAGUGUCCUCAGCCUGCUCCUCAGUCUCACUGUCUUCCUCACCCUCACCCUCACCAUCACCCAGACACAUGAUUGCUACUGCAGAUUGGGUCGACAGCUUCCAGAUUCCAUGGGAGAAGCUCCCAGAAGCCUUAAUGCAGAGUUUGGAGAGAGGGAAAAGGCCAAGCUCAAAGUUACGCAGAGAACUGAUCCGAAUUGUAGUUGCUGAAAUGAUGCAUGCCUCUUCUUCUCCUGGUAAACAAUCCUCCACAGAGGUUGCGAAGAAAAUGGUAGCAAAGUAUCCACUGUCACUGCAAGAUGUUAUAGAAGGUGAUGUG
This 769-nucleotide long non-coding RNA is filed under the name Danio rerio (zebrafish). RNAcentral's name for it is "lncRNA si:dkey-288c23.2 (ENSDARG00000068085.5)". Lineage: Eukaryota; Metazoa; Chordata; Actinopteri; Cypriniformes; Danionidae. The record is from RNAcentral.